GGGCCCAUAGCUCAGUUGGUUAGAGCCACCGGCUCAUAACCGGAAGGUCGGAGGUUCGAAUCCUCCUGGGCCCACCA
Molecule: transfer RNA, 77 nt
Filed under: Thermodesulfatator sp.
Lineage: Bacteria; Pseudomonadati; Thermodesulfobacteriota; Thermodesulfobacteria; Thermodesulfobacteriales; Thermodesulfatatoraceae
Also listed under: 1 other name
Description: tRNA-Met
Rfam family: tRNA
About the family: Transfer RNA (tRNA) molecules are approximately 80 nucleotides in length. Their secondary structure includes four short double-helical elements and three loops (D, anti-codon, and T loops).
Source: RNAcentral